CACAAGAUUUUACAACUGCAGCUUUCCAUCCUUAUGACUUUGAGUAAUGUUUUGCUUCUGAAUGUUUAUGCUUUCCAGCUAUGAGUGAAUACAUGAAAUAGCUCUUCUGUGCAGUGGGAAGCAACCUAACGAGCCUGAGCUGCACUGAGGGCACUGGAGGAGUUUACAAAUGUGUGGAGAGCAUGUGCUGAGCAACCCAGGGGAAACCACUCAAGGGAGUCCUCUGACAGAGCUGGGGACAGCACUGUGCCUGGAGCAGAACAGAAAAUCAACCUAAGCAAAAAAAGAGGCAUCUCAAUCUCCAGUUGAAUGCAUUUCACAGGAAGCCAGAACAUGUUUUGGAUGGCAAAAUGGGAUAAGAGGAUUUACAUACUGGCCACUGCAGUAAAAAGAGACUCAGAAGAAGAGUACAGCCAGUCUGCUGCUCCACUGGUCAAGAUCUGUGGACACCAAAAGCACAAUCAGAGAGCUGAAGUUUCAGCAUCUGGGGCACUCGUUAUGCAGC
This is a long non-coding RNA of Melospiza melodia melodia, 505 nucleotides long. RefSeq lists it as uncharacterized. NCBI's taxonomy places the organism in Eukaryota, Metazoa, Chordata, Aves, Passeriformes, Passerellidae. The transcript has 3 exons. The record is from RefSeq and is a predicted model, not a curated record.